UUACAAGUUGUGCAAUUGGAAUGACUACAAUUUAAAGAGUUUAAGGAGGAUCAAUUGGAGGGCAAGUCUGGUGCCAGCAGCCGCGGUAAUUCCAGCUCCAAUAGGAUAUAUCAAAGUUGUUGCAGUUAAAAAGCUCGUAGUUGAAGUUUUGGAGAGUAGUCUUUGUCUUUUCCGGCUUGGGGAGCAAUCCUCUUCGGGAAGGGCACUCUCUCCACAUUGUGGACCAUCCCUAUUUGUUUUGGCGAUUUUUUUCGCGAAAGCAGAAAGGGCCACUCCGUCACUGAGAGCAAAUUGGAGUGCUCAAAGCAGGCUUUACAGCUUUGAACAUAUUAGCUUGGAAUGACAAGAUACGACUCUGGUCGGUUUAUUUUGUUGGUUAUUUAGACUAGAGUAAUGAUUAACAGGAACAGUAGCGGGGGUACUCGUAUUUAAAGGUCAGAGGUGAAAUUCUUGGAUUCUUUCAAGACGAACGACUGCGAAAGCAUUUACCAAGGAUGUUUUCAUUAAUCAAGAACGAAAGCUUGGGGAUCGAAGAUGAUUAGAUACCAUCGUAGUCCAACGCAUAAACGAUGCCGACUCGGGAUUGGUAGGUGUUCUUUUUAAAACAUGAACCCUAUCAGCACCGUAUGAGAAAUCAAAGUCUUUGGGUUCCGGGGGGAGUAUAGUCGCAAGGAAGAAACUUAAAGGAAUUGACGGAAGGGCACACCAGAGGUGGAGCCUGCGGUUUAAUUUGACCCAACACGGGGAAACUUACCAGGUCCAGACAUGAUGAGGAUUGACAGUUUGAAAGCACUUUCUUGAUUUCAUGGGUGGUGGUGCAUGGCCGUUCUUAGUUGGUGGAGUGAUUUGUCUGGUUGAUUCCGAUAACGAACGAGACGGGGGGAGUUUACUAGUUUUGCAUAAUCUAAUUCGCGUUAGAUGGAACUUCUUUACUCGACAACUCGGUUUUACCGAGAGGAAGCGCCCCGCAAUAACAGGUCUGUGAUGCCCUUAGAUGUUCUGGGCUACACGCGCGCUACAAUGACGAGUUCAACGAGUUUGUUUUAUUCCUUGUCCGGAAGGAUGUGGGUAAUCUUUUCAAUGCUCGUCGUGAUGGGGCUAGAUUUUUGCAAUUAUUAAUCUUCAACGAGGAAUCUCUAGUAUGUGCAGUUCAUCAGACUGCGCAGAAUGCGUCCCUGCCCUUUGUACACACCGCCCGUCGCACCUACCGAUUGGACGAUCCGGCAAGAUGUUUGGAGUGUUGUGUUUGUGAUGUAAAAGUCGUGAACAUGACGCAAAGCUCUU
RNAcentral lists this ribosomal RNA (1284 nucleotides) under metagenome. RNAcentral's name for it is "SSU rRNA". It matches the Rfam family "Eukaryotic small subunit ribosomal RNA", at positions 494 to 1759 of the family's 1831-position model. The record is from RNAcentral.